Non-coding RNA from Hydra vulgaris (swiftwater hydra), 2212 nucleotides. The record is from RefSeq and is a predicted model, not a curated record. Lineage: Eukaryota; Metazoa; Cnidaria; Hydrozoa; Anthoathecata; Hydridae.
AAGUUAGUAAAUUUGUUAAUAAGUUAGUAUACCUCAUGAAAAGUAACUUUCAUUAAUGUAUAAAAAACGUGUUAUUUUUUCAGGUUUUCCGGAGUUAUUAUAAUUUACCAAUGAAUUUCCUUUUUAUAUAUUUUUUAUUUUGUUAAUUUUUAAAGCAAAAAUUUUAUUUUUUAAAGAUAAAAUUUUAAUAGUAGUUACGUUGAUGCCAUAACUAAAGCUGGUAUAGAAAAUUCUGGAUGAGCUUAAUCUAUACUGACUGGUCAAAAGGUAAAAUGCUCAAGGUAUGCGACACAAGUUUCAUAUAAGCUGGUUUAUACCUACUAUUGGCUAAAGUAUUCUAAAAACUAUUUACGACUCCCUGUGACUUGUAGAUCCAUCAACAAUCGUGUUGCUUGUUAAGAGUUUCAGAAUAGGAAAUUUUAAUACUUUUGUCAGUGCCUAGGGAAAUAUUGUUUUUUGAAUGUUUGCUUUAAUUCACACACACAUACACUAUUUUUGACAGCUUCCAAUUUUUCUUGUUGUAAUGAAUAUGUUUCCUCAUAAAAACCAUGAGGUUUACACCCAGUCUACAAAGGUUUUUUUGUCGCAUAACAAAUAAAAGACGCCCUUUUUCAUUUAUGGCUGUAGAUUAGGCAUAUGAAUAAAACAUCAAAAUCAUAAAAAAAGAUGGCGAUUCAACUGAGGUUUUAGAUAGCCUAAGUGCAUUGAUAAAGUCUAUGGUGUAUGAGCCACUACUUGCUGAACUUCUAAAGGAAUCUGGAGAAAAAGAUAAUGAAAAAAAACAUUACGAAGACCUGUCUUUGAAAAAAAAUUUUAAUGACAAUUACCAGAUUUUAUUGAAGUUAUAAAAGGUUUUGGAAAUCCAUUUUAAGUAGAAGAAGAUAUUCUCAUUCAUUUAUCAACAAAGGUAUUGCUUGACGCAAAAGGUAGGACAUUCGCCAAAAAAGUUAUGCAAACGGGUGUUGAAUCAUCCAGAUGGUAUAUUUAAAAUAGUUUAACAACUGAAACUUAGUUUAUAAAACAAAUGAUUAUUUCGACAUAAAAAUCAUGCUUAUCCAUCUGCAAUAUCUGAAUUCGGUAAACUCAAAAAAACCAGUAAAUCGGAGUACCUUAAAUGCUUCGAAGAGUAUUCGGCACCUACUUUGAUUUCUUCUGAAGUUAUUUUUGCAGAGAUGUUAGAUCGAGGAGCAAUUAUUUAUAUAUUUCAUCCAAUAAAUUCAAAGACUUUCAAGGAGUACUCUGAUAAUGAGUAUCAACAAAACAUAAAGAAAUAAAAAGGAUUGACAUAGUGUUUUAGUUUAAAAACUCAGACCAGGGAGAUUCGUGGGAAUGGUGUGAGAGUAUGUGUUUCUGAUUUAACUUGUGUUUGGAAAAACUGGUCAUGAUUCUUACUAUUGGCUGUAAACAAAAUGAGUUGUCUAAAAUACUUGCAAUAAACUUUGUUCAAGAACCUUUGACUCGCUGUUAAUAACAACGUUAGAUGAAACUGAUUUGUCCAAUUUCUCACCAUAUAACCACGAGAAUGCUGAAACUAAAAUUUUGCUACAUGUUAAAAACACAGUUGACAGUAGGAAUCAAGUUUUCUGUGUUUAAACAGUUAACACAGAUGUUUUUGAAAUCUCAAUUUCCGUUUUUAAACAAUUAACUGGAUAGUACUUGGAGUUUUGGUUUCUAAUUCACUAUUACCCACAAAAGAUAAGUGAAAAAGUUGAGGCUGUUUCAUUGUGGUUUGCAUUCACUGGCUGUCAUCCUAUCUUCAUUUGCAGAACGAGGUAAAAAACUUGCAUGGAGUCUCUGGAACAAUGGAAAUGAAGAAAUAAUGAGAGCACUGACAAGAGUAAAUUCACCUGAUGCAGAAUAAUUUAACUGCUACGUAAUUCUACUUUAUGAUAAAACAAGUUUCACUACUGACCUUGUUAUAUGCUUAAGAAACCUGUUUACUAAAAAGUCACGGCAGCGUGUGGGGUUACCUCCUACAAAAGAUGCACUCUUUCAGCAUUUGAAAAUAGCUGUGUUUCAUGAAAGAAAUUGACGGUUGUGCUCCUCCAAUUCGCAAACAAUUUCGUAGGCCCUGGAAAAUGCAAACAGAGCUAUGCGAGUGUUCUGGUCAGUGUUUAGAAUAAAAAUGAACAAAUCUCAUUAUUAUUAAUUUUUUACCAAAUUUUGAAAUAAUUUAAUUUUAUUUCUAUGAAAUAUAUAUAUUUAAAAUAUA